CGUCGCGUGAAGGAUGAAAUCUUUCGGGAUGUAAACUUCUUUUAUCAGGGAAGAAACAAAUGACGGUACCUGAUGAAUAAGCCCCGGCUAACUACGUGC
Molecule: ribosomal RNA, 99 nt
Filed under: uncultured bacterium
Lineage: Bacteria
Description: partial 16S ribosomal RNA
Rfam family: Bacterial small subunit ribosomal RNA
Source: RNAcentral